UUGGAAGGAAACUAAUAAUCAGGGUUAUAUACCACGCACUUCAUUUUUGAAGUUGUGCAUUCCCACUAUUUUCAGAAAGCCUUCUUAUUGUUUUUACGAAAAGAUGGCGUUGUUUUUAUCUACCAAACCAGGAAAGAUAACGUCACCGUACAACGGUAGUUAACGUUCGAAUUCCACGGAAUACGUGAUUCGUGAAAUUCUUCCUUUAGAAUUUCUCAAAAGAAAAGGGGGAAAGAAAAAGUCAAACAAGUCCCUCUUUAUAUGUGUUGUACAGCACCUUAUUUUGAAAUCUUCCCAUUAUAUGCUUGUCACUUCUCUGCCAUCAUCAAAAUUAAAUUUGUCUGCUGCAUUCGUAUUUAAAUGUAAUAGGAUAAAGCCAAAAUUUUUAUUUAAAAGUCAUUACUCUUUUCAAAAGUUUCUCGCGGCUUUUUUUUUUUUUAUCGAUCGCAGCUUUGCACAUUUCCAUAAAUAGAUUAUGAAUUUAGUGCAAGUAGCGCGCGUAGCAGUUGUGCUGUAUGUGCAAACUAACGUAAAUGUGUGGUUACUGGUUAGGCAGGCCUUCACGGUAGGUCGUUGGCAGGGCAAGGCGUGAAUGUCACGACAAUUCUGAAUUCUGUGAAAGUCGCCUUUUUAUACACGUUACCAAGCAGCAGCCACGAGUGUCAAGCUCAGUCAAACACAUGGGGAAAAAAACUCAAAUUCAUUUUCCUGUUUAUGCACUUUGCAUUCGGAGGGCGACAGCUGAUGGUGGCACCCAGAAUGGUGUUCUCAUGGCUUUCUUUGAAAUGGAAAGAAACAAAAUAAAGUACUCUCAGCGUCGAGAACUGGAAAUCAAACAAGAAAUUUUAAAGGCACACUCCAUAUGGCACGUGUAGAUAGAAACAUUCUUUAGACAGCUUGUGUCAAUGUUUCCAAGGCCCCAAACUAAGCAGUUAGCAUGCUUCAAUCAAGUACUUAAGCAUUAAUCAAAUUAUUGACAUGUGACUCUGUAGAAGCCAAAGUGACCUCGUGAACUUUCAGAAGACAAUUAAUUGUGUAGUAGGUAAAUUACUGUCAUUCCCAAGCCACUGCAAAAAUCUCACACUCUGUAGAAAAGUAUUUUUCUAGAGCGCUCAUACUGUCCAUUGUUCGCCAUUUUUUCUUUCUGUCUUUUUCUUCCAUCCCCCUAAAACCGAGAAUUACAAUAAGUUGCCCCUUGGCUAUAUGACGA
Daphnia magna is the source of this 1210-nucleotide long non-coding RNA. RefSeq lists it as uncharacterized. Lineage: Eukaryota; Metazoa; Arthropoda; Branchiopoda; Diplostraca; Daphniidae. The transcript has 2 exons. The record is from RefSeq and is a predicted model, not a curated record.